UACGGAGGGAGCUAGCGUUAUUCGGAAUUACUGGGCGUAAAGCGCACGUAGGCGGCUUUGUAAGUUAGAGGUGAAAGCCUGAAGCUCAACUUCAGAAUUGCCUUUAAGACUGCAUCGCUUGAAUCCAGGAGAGGUGAGUGGAAUUCCGAGUGUAGAGGUGAAAUUCGUAGAUAUUCGGAAGAACACCAGUGGCGAAGGCGGCUCACUGGACUGGUAUUGACGCUGAGGUGCGAAAGCGUGGGGAGCAAACAGG
This 253-nucleotide ribosomal RNA is filed under the name uncultured bacterium. RNAcentral describes it as "partial 16S ribosomal RNA". It matches the Rfam family "Bacterial small subunit ribosomal RNA", at positions 524 to 776 of the family's 1533-position model. The record is from RNAcentral.